RNAcentral lists this antisense RNA (508 nucleotides) under Streptomyces sp. TSRI0281. Its description in RNAcentral is "Saccharopolyspora sRNA 350". It matches the Rfam family "Saccharopolyspora sRNA 350". The record is from Rfam by way of RNAcentral. Lineage: Bacteria; Bacillati; Actinomycetota; Actinomycetes; Kitasatosporales; Streptomycetaceae.
CGGGCGGUGUACUCCCAGGUGGCUUCACCGUCGACCAGGCUCCGGUCGCCGAAGUACGCGCCGUCGGCGAGGACACCGAGCACCGUCUCGUCCCCGUACGGCCCGGAGCCGACUUUCUCCACCUUGCCGUGCGCCAGCAGGAAGACCCGGUCCGCCGCCUCCCCCGAGGCGGCGAGCACCUCCCCGGCGGCCACGUCCCGCUGUUCGCACCUGCGGGAGAGUUCGGCGAGGACCUCCUCGUCGCCGAACUCCCGCAAGGGCGGCAGCUCCCCGAGCUCGGCGGGGAUGACGGAGACCUGGUCGCCGGUCUGCACGAAGGUCACCCGGCCGUCGCCGACCGCAUAGCUGAGCCGACGGUUCACCCGGUACGUACCGCCCUGUACCUGCACCCACGGCAGCAUGCGCAGCAGCCACCGGGAGGUGAUCUCCUGCAUCUGCGGCGCGGACUUGGUGGUCGUCGCGAGGUUCCGCGCAGCCGCCGUGCCCAGACUCUGCUGCGGCGGAGCCU